UGUCUCCCUGGCUUUGAUGAUCUGUACC
Molecule: non-coding RNA, 28 nt
Filed under: Mus musculus (house mouse)
Lineage: Eukaryota; Metazoa; Chordata; Mammalia; Rodentia; Muridae
Source: RNAcentral